UCUACGGGGGGCAGCAGUGGGGAAUAUUGGGCAAUGGGCGCAAGCCUGACCCAGCAACGCCGCGUGAAGGAAGAAGGCUUUCGGGUUGUAAACUUCUUUUGUCAGGGAAGAGUAGAAGACGGUACCUGACGAAUAAGCCACGGCUAACUACGUGCCAGCCGCCGCGGUAAGACGUAGGUGGCAAGCGUUGUCCGGAUUUACUGGGUGUAAAGGGCGUGUAGCCGGGUUGACAAGUCAGAUGUGAAAUCCUGCGGCUUAACCGCAGAACUGCAUUUGAAACUGUUUAGCUUGAGUACUGGAGAGGCAGACGGAAUUCCGAGUGUAGCGGUGAAAUGCGUAGAUAUUAGGAGGAACACCAGUGGCGAAGGCGGUCUGCUGGACAGCAACUGACGGUGAGGCGCGAAAGCGUGGGGAGCAAACAGGAUUAGAUACCCCAGUAGUC
This 442-nucleotide ribosomal RNA is filed under the name uncultured bacterium. RNAcentral describes it as "partial 16S ribosomal RNA". It matches the Rfam family "Bacterial small subunit ribosomal RNA", at positions 338 to 795 of the family's 1533-position model. The record is from RNAcentral.